UACGUAGGGUGCAAGCGUUGUCCGGAAUUAUUGGGCGUAAAGAGCUCGUAGGCGGUUUGUCGCGUCUGCUGUGAAAACUCGGGGCUUAACCCUGAGCCUGCAGUGGGUACGGGCAGACUAGAGUGUGGUAGGGGAGAUCGGAAUUCCUGGUGUAGCGGUGGAAUGCGCAGAUAUCAGGAGGAACACCGGUGGCGAAGGCGGAUCUCUGGGCCAUAACUGACGCUGAGGAGCGAAAGCGUGGGGAGCGAACAGG
RNAcentral lists this ribosomal RNA (253 nucleotides) under uncultured bacterium. Its description in RNAcentral is "partial 16S ribosomal RNA". It matches the Rfam family "Bacterial small subunit ribosomal RNA", at positions 524 to 776 of the family's 1533-position model. The record is from RNAcentral.